AUCCCAUUCCAGGAAGUAAGGGGGAGGGACCCCUGGGUAAACUGGAGGAUACAGUUCCCUGGCCACAACACUUUAAAAACAACAUGAGACAGAAACUAUCUUAAUUUGGGAGAGAUAGGAUGGAGUCAAUGGAAAAGACUUUUACCAGCCUGGUAAUAGAGGAACACAAAAUGUCUUCUACCAAAACAAGGUCCUUGCUGUCUGCCACAUUGGUGUCCAUUUGAGAUAAUCUGGUCAUACAUCCAAGCCCUGUUAAAUUGAGUUACAAGACCCUAAAUAUCAGAUGAAUAGAAAAAAUCCUCAAAUCUAAAGCUGCCUAAAGAUAUAAUAUUCCAAGGGGGAAAGGACCAUUUCUUGGAAGAGCUAUAAAACACAUGUUCAAAAAGAGUUUUCAUCCUGGAACAGCUGGCUCUUUAACAAAACAAAUUUCUCACACUUUGAAAAAGUUUAUUUGUCCUUUUAUUCAGUUUUGCUUUUUAAAAUUCUAUCAUUGUUUUCCGAAUAUGAUAAAGUUAGCUAUUGACUGAGGACAGGGAAAUGAAGAUAAAUUCCAAAUCCAUCCUUUUGAUACGAAAAAAAAAUAAUUGUUUGAGAAAUGUUCUUUUCAGUCCUAAAAAAAUCCUGAAUUUCCAGGAACCACCUUAUGGUUUCAAUUUGUUUAACUUCUUUUACAAUGAUCUGCUGCAGAGUUAUAGUCGAAGUGAAGAACUGAAAAGUCAAAAACUAUCCAUUUAAAAGGGGAAAUGCAUUUAUGUUCAUUUCAAUUACCAAGUGAUUUAGUAGUUAUAGAACC
Molecule: long non-coding RNA, 793 nt
Organism: Monodelphis domestica (gray short-tailed opossum)
Lineage: Eukaryota; Metazoa; Chordata; Mammalia; Didelphimorphia; Didelphidae
Source: RefSeq, a predicted model, not a curated record